RNAcentral lists this ribosomal RNA (484 nucleotides) under uncultured bacterium. RNAcentral describes it as "partial 16S ribosomal RNA". It matches the Rfam family "Bacterial small subunit ribosomal RNA", at positions 30 to 506 of the family's 1533-position model. The record is from RNAcentral.
AUUGAACGCUGGCGGCAGGCUUAACACAUGCAAGUCGAGCGGAGAUGAGGUGCUUGCACCUUAUCUUAGCGGCGGACGGGUGAGUAAUGCUUAGGAAUCUGCCAUUUAGUGGGGGACAACAUUCCGAAAGGAAUGCUAAUACCGCAUACGUCCUACGGGAGAAAGCAGGGGAUCUUCGGACCUAGCGCUAAAUGAUGAGCCUAAGUCGGAUUAGCUAGUUGGUGGGGUAAAGGCCUACCAAGGCGACGAUCUGUAGCGGGUCUGAGAGGAUGAUCCGCCACACUGGGACUGAGACACGGCCCAGACUCCUACGGGAGGCAGCAGUGGGGAAUAUUGGACAAUGGGGGGAACCCUGAUCCAGCCAUGCCGCGUGUGUGAAGAAGGCCUUAUGGUUGUAAAGCACUUUAAGCGAGGAGGAGGCUACUGAGACUAAUACUCUUGGAUAGUGGACGUUACUCGCAGAAUAAGCACCGGCUAACUCUGU